This 465-nucleotide ribosomal RNA is filed under the name uncultured bacterium. Its description in RNAcentral is "partial 16S ribosomal RNA". It matches the Rfam family "Bacterial small subunit ribosomal RNA", at positions 28 to 507 of the family's 1533-position model. The record is from RNAcentral.
GACGAACGCUGGCGGCGUGCUUAACACAUGCAAGUCGAACGGAAAGGCCCCUUUGGGGGUACUCGAGUGGCGCACGGGUGAGUAACAUGUGAGUAACCUGCCCUUGACUUCGGGAUAACUUCAGGAAACUGGGGCUAAUACCGGAUAGGAAUCCUUGCUGCAUGGUGGGGGUUGGAAAGAUUUGGCGGUUUUGGAUGGACCUGCGGCUUAUUAGCUUGUUGGUGGGGUAGUGGCCUACCAAGGCUUUGACGGGUAGCCGGCCUGAGAGGGCGAGCGGCCACAUUGGGACUGAGAGACGGCCCAGACUCCUACUGGAGGCAGCAGGGGGGAAUAUUGCACAAUGGGCGGAAGCCUGAUGCAGCAACGCCGCGGGCGGGAUGACGGCCUUCGGGUUGUAAACCGCUUGCAGCAGGGGCGAAGCUUGUGGUGACGGUACCUGCAGAAGAAGCACCGGCUAACUACGUG